RNAcentral lists this ribosomal RNA (206 nucleotides) under uncultured bacterium. Its description in RNAcentral is "partial 16S ribosomal RNA". It matches the Rfam family "Bacterial small subunit ribosomal RNA", at positions 568 to 774 of the family's 1533-position model. The record is from RNAcentral.
AGCGUAGACGGUGUGGCAAGUCUGAUGUGAAAGGCAUGGGCUCAACCUGUGGACUGCAUUGGAAACUGUCAUGCUUGAGUGCUGGAGGGGUAAGCGGAAUUCCUAGUGUAGCGGUGAAAUGCGUAGAUAUUAGGAGGAACACCAGUGGCGAAGGCGGCUUACUGGACGGUAACUGACGUUGAGGCUGAAAGCGUGGGGAGCAAACA